GACGAACGCUGGCGGCGUGCUUAACACAUGCAAGUCGAACGGAAAGGCCCUGCUUUUGUGGGGUGCUCGAGUGGCGAACGGGUGAGUAACACGUGAGUGACCUGCCCUUGACUUUGGGAUAACUUCAGGAAACUGGGGCUAAUACCGGAUAGGAGCUCCUGCUGCAUGGUGGGGGUUGGAAAGUUUCGGCGGUUGGGGAUGGACUCGCGGCUUAUCAGCUUGUUGGUGGGGUAGUGGCUUACCAAGGCUUUGACGGGUAGCCGGCCUGAGAGGGUGACCGGCCACAUUGGGACUGAGAUACGGCCUAGACUCCUACGGGAGGCAGCAGUGGGGAAUAUUGCACAAUGGGCGGAAGCCUGAUGCAGCAACGCCGCGUGCGGGAUGACGGCCUUCGGGUUGUAAACCGCUUUCGCCUGUGACGAAGCGUGAGUGACGGUAAUGGGUAAAGAAGCACCGGCUAACUACGUG
This 468-nucleotide ribosomal RNA is filed under the name uncultured bacterium. RNAcentral describes it as "partial 16S ribosomal RNA". It matches the Rfam family "Bacterial small subunit ribosomal RNA", at positions 28 to 507 of the family's 1533-position model. The record is from RNAcentral.